RNAcentral lists this ribosomal RNA (861 nucleotides) under uncultured bacterium. RNAcentral describes it as "bacterial SSU rRNA". It matches the Rfam family "Bacterial small subunit ribosomal RNA", at positions 21 to 880 of the family's 1533-position model. The record is from RNAcentral.
GGCUCAGGAUGAACGCUGGCGGCGUGCCUAAUACAUGCAAGUCGAACGAAUCUCUUUUAGAGAUGAGUGGCGAACGGGUGAGUAAUACAUAGGUAACCUGCCCCUGUGCGGGGGAUAACAGGAGGAAACUCCUGCUAAUACCGCAUAGCCAUGAGCACCGCAUGGAGCUCAUGCCAAAUAUCCUUUAUGGGAUAGCGCAGGGAUGGACCUAUGGCGCAUUAGCUGGUUGGCGGGGCAACGGCCCACCAAGGCAACGAUGCGUAGCCGGCCUGAGAGGGCGGACGGCCACAUUGGGACUGAGACACGGCCCAGACUCCUACGGGAGGCAGCAGUAGGGAAUUUUCGGCAAUGGGGGAAACCCUGACCGAGCAACGCCGCGUGAGCGAAGAAGGCCUUCGGGUCGUAAAGCUCUGUUGUAAAGGAAGAACGGCGCAUACAGGAAAUGGUAUGCGAGUGACGGUACUUUACCAGAAAGCCACGGCUAACUACGUGCCAGCAGCCGCGGUAAUACGUAGGUGGCGAGCGUUAUCCGGAAUCAUUGGGCGUAAAGAGGGAGCAGGCGGCCGCAAGGGUCUGUGGUGAAAGACCGAAGCUAAACUUCGGUAAGCCAUGGAAACCGGGCGGCUAGAGUGCGGAAGAGGAUCGUGGAAUUCCAUGUGUAGCGGUGAAAUGCGUAGAUAUAUGGAGGAACACCAGUGGCGAAGGCGACGGUCUGGGCCGCAACUGACGCUCAUUCCCGAAAGCGUGGGGAGCAAAUAGGAUUAGAUACCCUAGUAGUCCACGCCGUAAACGAUGGUCACUAAGUGUCGGGGGUCAAACCCCGGUAAAGCAGUCAACGCAAUAAGUGACCCGCCUGAGUAG